Molecule: long non-coding RNA, 3333 nt
Organism: Ahaetulla prasina
Lineage: Eukaryota; Metazoa; Chordata; Lepidosauria; Squamata; Colubridae
Exons: 3
Source: RefSeq, a predicted model, not a curated record
ACCCAGACUCGAGCAGGUAGCAACAAACGCAGUCCUUAAUGAAAAUAAACUUUAUUCAAGCAGCUGGGAAUUGACCCAUUCCCAGCGUCAUGAAACUCAAAAGAAAGCAAAGGCUUCUCACACAAAACAGUCUGUCAUUAUUUCCAACCUGGUCCAAUUUAGAUAAUUGCCAAAGUCCUUUGCAGAUAAGAGUCUCGAGCAGAGAAUGGAGAGCUGCCAAGGUCUUCUCAGAGAAACAUCCAGAGCAGAGAAUGGGACGAGCGCAGCUCCAACGUUGUUUUCUGGGAAACUGAGACACCGAUGCCUGUCUCCUUUUAAACCUUAUGGGAGGGCCAUAAGGUUCCCCUCGCACAUAUGUUCUAGUCGUUCCCGACUCUAAGAGGCGCUGCUCAUCUCCGUUUCUAAGCCGAAGAGCCAGCACUGUCCGAAGACGUCUCCGUGGUCAUGUGGCCGGCAUGACUAAACGCCAAAGGCGCAUGGAACACUGUUCCCUUCCCACCAAAGCUGACGUUGGAGCAAAAUAACUAGGAGGAAGAGGCGGAAAUGCAACCCACGUUACUCCUUAAGCCCCGAGUGGAUUCUUCAGAUGUUCACUGUUCACAUCAGUGGCUUGUUUUUCUCUCCUAGCCAGAAGACAAAUGUGCAGGGCUAGCGGUCUAAAGGAGGCAUCAGCGACAAUGCACGUGAUGAAGUCUUUCGCCAGGCAGCAGUGAGACCAAAUAAGCUUUUUCAACAUCACGAGCGUGUUGCUGUGGGCCGCUUUGACAGGCAGAGAAUGCGAUGCGCCUGGCGCGCCACUCAGGAGCAGCAGGGCUGGGCAGAGGCAUUAGUUCCACGACUCUUUUCUUUAAACUGCUGUUCAAGAAGCCUGUCUAAACCUCCAGUAGAUUAAAAAUAAAAAUAAUAAUAAUAAAAAAUCCCUCAGUUUGAAAAUGAUUGCCAGGCAUCAUAUUUAUUCUGGCAGCUUUGUUCUGUUGCACAACACAAGAAGCAGAUUGGUUACUUCCUCAAAUGUCUUCUUCAGUCUGAAUGCACUUUCUGGAUGGGAAGCAGAUGGGCCAGGAUUACAUUUCACUAUCUGUCAGAUGCCAGAAGCCGACUGAGAUUUUACUCUCAAGAAUCAGGUGGGUUGUCCUUGAUGAGAUCGGGCGAAUAACGAUCAGUCGCCUUCUCUGCAUCGCUUCUCCCCAGUCAGAGGUCCUCCAGGUGUGUUGGACUCCCACCAUGUUAAGUACAGAAUAGAAUAGAAUAGAAUAGAAUUUUUUAUUGGCCAAGUGUGAUUGGACACACAAGGAAUUUGUCUUGGUGCAGAUGCUCUCAGUGUACAUAAAAGAAAAGAUACGUUCAUCAAGGUACAACAUUUACAACACAAUUGAUGGUCAAUAUAUCAAUAUAAAUCAUAAGGAUUGCCAGCAACAAGUUAUAGUCAUACAGUCAUAAGUGGAAAGAGAUUGGCGAUGGGAACUAUGAAACGAUUAAUAGUAGUGCAGAUUCAGUAAAUAGUCUGACAGUGUUGAGGGAAUUAUUUGUUUAGCAGAGUGAUGGCCUUCGGGAAAAAACUGUUCUUGUGUCUAGUUGUUCUGGUGUGCAGUGCUCUAUAGCGUCGUUUUGAGGGUAGGAGUUGAAACAGUUUAUGUCCAGGAUGCGAGGGAUCUGCAAAUAUUUUCACGGCCCUCUUCUUGAUUCGUGCAGUAUACAGGUCCUCAAUGGAAGGCAGGUUGGUAGCAAUUAUUUUUUCUGCAGUUCUAAUUAUCCUCUGAAGUCUGUGUUUUUCUUGUUGGGUUGCAGAACCGAACCAGACAGUUAUAGAGGUGCAAAUGACAGGUGAUGGACUUGGCAGUCAGACACAUCUGGAAGCACUUGGGGGAAGGAAAGGCUGCCUGGGCUGACCACAUGAAGAUCUUGUAAAAAGCACAAGCCGUGUUCACACAAUUAUGCUUGACCUCACCCGGGGCCUCAAGAGGACCACUUUCGAGCAAAGAUACAGGAGUAAAGUUCUUCACAACUGUAAUGGCAGCUUCCAUACAAUGGGAAGUGGGUAGGAAUAAUCCAAAUUCAUCAUCUCCAUCUUUUUUUCAUUCCCUUCUUGCAGAUUGCAAUAGCACUUAGACUUAUAUACCGCUUCAUAGUGCUUUUACAGCCCUCUCUAAACUGUUUACAGAGUCAGCAUUUUCCCCCCAACAAUCCUGAGUCUUUAUUUUACCAACUUCAGAAGGACGGAAGGCUGAGUCAACCUUGAGCCAGUCAGGGGUUGAACUGCUGGCAGUGAGCAGAGUUAGCCUGCAAUAUUGCAUUCUAACCACUGCACACCAUGGAAGGAAGGAAGGAAGGAAGGAAGGAAGGAAGGAAGGAAGGAAGGAAGGAAGGAAGGAAGGAAGGAAGGAAGGAAGGAAGGAAGGGACAACAGCAAUACUACCUAGACUUAUAUACCACUUCACAGUGCUUUUACAGCCCUCUCUAAGCGGUUUACAGAGUCGGCAUAUUGCCCCCAAUAAUCUGGCUCCUCAUUUUAUCCGCCUCGGGAGGAUGGAAGGCUGAGUCAACCUUGAGCCUGGAGAGAUUCGAUUUGCCAAAUUGCAGGCAGCCGGCAGGCAGCAGAAGUAGCCUGCAGUACUGCACUCUGACCACUGCGCCACCACGGCUCUUGAUUUUAUCUGUUUUAUUUCUGUAAAUAAACGAAUGAUAAUAAUAAUAAUGCUCAUCGGUUUUAAGAACAUAAUCUUCAUCCCCCAUAAGAAAGCAUUCUUGUGUAACCUUCAACCUUCCAUAGUUUUGGAGAGGAUGAUCAAAGGACUAUCUCCGUUUACGGUGCUGCCUUUAUUAACAAUACUCUUGCUAACUAACCACUUUGGAUGGCCAGAAAGAGAGGAAUGCUUUCUUUUGGUGGGCAGAAAUAUCUAGGCGAGUUCGCCAUAUUUGGUGCAGAGUAACUGCCAUAAAUGGCCCUAGGAUUUACAAAGGACAUCUUGAUUUAUUCCCGUGGGAUGCGGCUUGUUAUUUGUUUUAUUAGGUGUGUAGGAAGUAUUAACUUUGUGUUUGAGUUCUAUCCAAGCAUAUCUGUAAAAGGCAAGCAAAGAAAGUCAAGGUGCAAAUCGUGACCUUGUUGCUUUUUAAUGCCCGUUGUGCACAGGAGGCAGAGCUUAGACCGCAAUGUGUAAAGAGGGCGGAAUAUGACCUAGAAGACGGAGAUAUAUGCAGGAACAGUUUCCUGGCACAAAGGACAGAAGCAUAUUUUAAGUCCGCAAGGAAAUAACAUUUUGAAGAAGCUCAGGCAGAGUGUUCCCUAAUUCACUGAAGUAAAAGCUCCAGCAUAAUCAGACGUGCAAAAUUCUG